UACGUAGGUGGCAAGCGUUACUCGGAAUCACUAGGCGUAAAGCGCAGGUAGGCGGUUUGGUAAGUCUUUUGUGAAAGCUCCCGGCUCAACUGGGAGAGGCCAAGGGAAACUACCAGGCUAGAGUGUGGCAGAGGAAGCUAGAAUUCCCGGUGUAGCGGUGAAAUGCGUAGAUAUCAGGAGGAACACCUGUGGCGAAAGCGGCGCACUGGACCACAACUGACGCUGAGGCGCGAAAGCUAGGGGAGCAAACAGG
RNAcentral lists this ribosomal RNA (253 nucleotides) under uncultured bacterium. RNAcentral's name for it is "partial 16S ribosomal RNA". It matches the Rfam family "Bacterial small subunit ribosomal RNA", at positions 524 to 776 of the family's 1533-position model. The record is from RNAcentral.